RNAcentral lists this ribosomal RNA (460 nucleotides) under uncultured bacterium. Its description in RNAcentral is "bacterial SSU rRNA". It matches the Rfam family "Bacterial small subunit ribosomal RNA", at positions 340 to 786 of the family's 1533-position model. The record is from RNAcentral.
UACGGGAGGCAGCAGUGGGGAAUAUUGCACAAUGGGCGAAAGCCUGAUGCAGCUAUGCCGCGUGUAUGAAGAAGGCCUUAGGGUUGUAAAGUACUUUCAUCGGGGAGGAAAAAACAAAACUAAUAAUUUUAUUUCUUGACGUUACCCGAAAAAGAAGCACCGGCUAACUCCGUGCCAGCAGCCGCGGUAAUACGGAGGGUGCUAGCGUUAAUCAGAAUUACUGGGCGUAAAGAGCACGUAGGUGGUUUUUUUAAGUCAGAUGUGAAAUCCCUGGGCUUAACCUAGGAACUGCAUUUUGAAACUGAAAUAACUAGAGUAUCGUAGAGGGAGGGUAGAAUUCUAGGUGUAGCGGUGAAAUGCGUAGAUAUCUGGAGGAAUACCUGUGGCGAAAGCGGCCUCCUAAACGAAUACUGACACUGAGGUGCGAAAGCGUGGGGAGCAAACAGGGAUUUAGGAUACC